GUUAGUUCCUGGAUGAAGUACAGCUCUGAAGUCAAGUGGAUCCUAUACAAACCAGAAAGACAAAGGAAUAUGAGGAGACCUCAUCAGGAUGGAAAUCACAAUUUUAAGGCAGAUACAUGUUUUUGGAAGAUCAACCUUAUGCAAUAUUGAGUUCAUGAAAAUGAGGAGGUCUAAAAGUAGGGUGACCAACCAUCCUGGUUUGACAAAGACUGAUAGAUAUUUCCUGGGGUGCAGGACCUUCAGUGCUAAGACUGGGGAAGUUUCAGAAAAUGCACUGAUAGUGGAAAUCUAAAGUAUACUCAGAAAUAUGUUGAUCGUCUUAUCUAAAAGAUGGUGACAGAUUGUG
Molecule: long non-coding RNA, 346 nt
Filed under: Homo sapiens (human)
Lineage: Eukaryota; Metazoa; Chordata; Mammalia; Primates; Hominidae
Description: non-protein coding lnc-RPP40-1:3
Source: RNAcentral